GUGAUCUGUCUGGGGUGCCACGUGCUGAGAAAUACCCAUUGAACCUGAUACAGUUAAUACUGUCGCAGGGAGACGCUAUAUCUACCAA
RNAcentral lists this non-coding RNA (88 nucleotides) under Paucilactobacillus suebicus. Its description in RNAcentral is "Lactobacillus suebicus TPP sequence". It matches the Rfam family "TPP riboswitch aptamer (THI element)". Rfam says of the family: Vitamin B(1) in its active form thiamin pyrophosphate (TPP) is an essential coenzyme that is synthesised by coupling of pyrimidine and thiazole moieties in bacteria. The previously detected thiamin-regulatory element, thi box was extended, resulting in a new, highly conserved RNA secondary structure, the THI element, which is widely distributed in eubacteria and also occurs in some archaea. Analysis of operon structures identified a large number of new candidate thiamin-regulated genes, mostly transporters, in various prokaryotic organisms. Lineage: Bacteria; Bacillati; Bacillota; Bacilli; Lactobacillales; Lactobacillaceae. The record is from RNAcentral.